RNAcentral lists this ribosomal RNA (492 nucleotides) under uncultured bacterium. RNAcentral describes it as "partial 16S ribosomal RNA". It matches the Rfam family "Bacterial small subunit ribosomal RNA", at positions 29 to 507 of the family's 1533-position model. The record is from RNAcentral.
AGUGAACGCUGGCGGCAGGCCUAACACAUGCAAGUCGAACGGCAGCACAGUAAGAGCUUGCUCUUACGGGUGGCGAGUGGCGGACGGGUGAGGAAUACAUCGGAAUCUACUUUUUCGUGGGGGAUAACGUAGGGAAACUUACGCUAAUACCGCAUACGAUCUACGGGUGAAAGCAGGGGAUCUUCGGACCUUGCGCGACUGAAUUAGCCGAUGUCGGAUUAGCUAGUUGGCGGGGUAAAGGCCCACCAAGGCGACGAUCCGUAGCUGGUCUGAGAGGAUGAUCAGCCACACUGGAACUGAGACACGGUCCAGACUCCUACGGGAGGCAGCAGUGGGGAAUAUUGGGCAAUGGGCGCAAGCCUGAUCCAGCCAUGCCGCGUGAGUGAAGAAGGCCUUCGGGUUGUAAAGCCCUUUUGUUGGGAAAGAAAAGCAGCAGGUGAAUACCCCGCUGUUCUGACGGUACCCAAAGAAUAAGCACCGGCUAACUUCGUG